GCCAGCAGCCGCGGUAAUUCCAGCUCCAAUAGCGUAUAUUAAAGUUGUUGCGGUUAAAAAGCUCGUAGUUGGAUCUCGGCGGGCAGGGGGUGGUUCGCUCUUCAGCGCUACUGCCCCGCUUUGCCCGUGUGAUUGGCGGAGGUUUCGGGGUGCUCUUCGUUGAGUGACUCGGAGCGCCGUCAGGUUUACUUUGAAAAAAUUAGAGUGCUCAAAGCAGGCUUUUCACGCUUGAAUAUUCGUGCAUGGAAUAAUGGAAUAGGAACUCGUUUCUAUUUUGUUGGUUUUCGGAAAUCGAGUUAAUGAUUAACAGGGACAAUUGGGGGCAUUAGUAUUCAGACGACAGAGGUGAAAUUCUUGGACCGUCUGAAGACUGACUACUGCGAAAGCAUUUGCCAAGAGUGUUUUCAUUAAUCAAGAACGAAAGUUAGAGGUUCGAAGGCGAUCAGAUACCGCCCUAGUUCUAACCAUAAACGAUGCCAGCUAGCGAUCUGCCGAGUUUUUUUUGUAGGCUCCGCAGGAAGCUUUCGGGAAACCAAAGCUUUUGGGUUCCGGGGGAAGUAUGGUUGCAAAGCUGAAACUUAAAGGAAUUGACGGAAGGGCACCACCAGGAGUGGAGCCUGCGGCUUAAUUUGACUCAACACGGGAAAUCUCACCAGGCCCGGACACUGGAAGGAUUGACAGAUUGAGAGCUCUUUCUCGAUUCGGUGGGUGGUGGUGCAUGGCCGUUCUUAGUUGGUGGAGUGAUUUGUCUGGUUAAUUCCGAUAACGAACGAGACUCUGUCCUGCUAAAUAGUUGGGUCGUCCUUCGUGCGAUCCAAGUUCUUCUUAGAGGGACUGGCUGCGUCUAGCAGCACGAGAUUGAGCAAUAACAGGUCUGUGAUGCCC
Molecule: ribosomal RNA, 885 nt
Filed under: uncultured eukaryote
Lineage: Eukaryota
Description: SSU rRNA
Rfam family: Eukaryotic small subunit ribosomal RNA
Source: RNAcentral